This 111-nucleotide non-coding RNA is filed under the name uncultured Stackebrandtia sp. RNAcentral describes it as "S-adenosyl methionine (SAM) riboswitch". It matches the Rfam family "SAM (S-adenosyl methionine) riboswitch aptamer". From Rfam's summary of the family: SAM-IV is a mRNA element that regulates gene expression via direct sensing of S-adenosylmethionine (SAM or AdoMet). SAM-IV riboswitches share conserved nucleotide positions with the previously described SAM-I riboswitches sequence analysis and molecular recognition experiments suggest that SAM-I and SAM-IV riboswitches share similar ligand binding sites, but have different scaffolds. Lineage: Bacteria; Bacillati; Actinomycetota; Actinomycetes; Glycomycetales; Glycomycetaceae. The record is from RNAcentral.
GGUCAUGAGUGGCAGCGUGAAGCCCUGGCUGGCUGCCCGGCAACCCAACUCCGCGUGGGGUGCCCCAGGUGAGGACCGGGUUCGACACCACGAGGUGUCGGGCAAGGCGCG